Long non-coding RNA from Haliotis rufescens (red abalone), 2488 nucleotides. RefSeq lists it as uncharacterized. The transcript is spliced from 5 exons. NCBI's taxonomy places the organism in Eukaryota, Metazoa, Mollusca, Gastropoda, Lepetellida, Haliotidae. The record is from RefSeq and is a predicted model, not a curated record.
CACAAUGUUAUUUUCAGAACAACUAUUGUCACUGUCUAUGUAUAUAUAAGGCAAUCGGUAACGGGAAAUAUGCAAGAUCAGCCUCGAACUAACGGUUGACCUUGUACCGUCUAAGACAUGGCUUUCUUCAUGAACUAUGCCCAAUGCCUUCUCCUGAUUCAGAUGGGAAUAGGGACAGAAGCAGUCACGUGUCAAUUCCCUGAUGGGCCAAAAGACUGCAUGUUUCACUGCGGCGUAAAGGAUUGCUCAUUUUCUCCUAUAUUGUUGUGGGUUGUUGUAUGGGCCGUACUGAUGCCUCUGGUGGGCCUCGGGAUAGGUAUCUGCUGCUGGUGCUCCCGCCGUGUCGUGUGUAGACAGAGACGUCGUCAACUUGCCACUUCGAAAACUGACUGCUUCUGCUGCUGUUGCAGGGGUGCCCGUGAACCAUCUACUUCUGAUUUUAGUCAUCUGCAUCCUUCACACGUACCAGACAACGAAAACCACAUAUGAAUGAAGUGGCCCAUGACUUACGACUUAAGAAGACGACUAUUUGAAAGCUCCACACAUCACCUGCCAAUUGCUGAUCAAUAUGCUACGUUCUCGGUAGUUACGUCACUCUGGACAAAAUAUGAACUUAUCUUCUCGUACCAAUGCAGUAGAAUUUGUGUAAUAACGAGCAUUAGCACUUUCUGUAGUACCACUGAUAUUAUAAUUCGUUUUUUCAAUCACUUGAAUUCAGUUCAGCAAGGUGGUGCGUUGUCACGGGGCUGUACUUUUAGUUUUAACAAAGUUAAUUAUACGAUAAACAUACUUAUCAUACUCCAUGUCAGAAUGAUGAUAUCCGAUUGGUCCACGUGAUCUUGAUACAAUACUGUGUAACCCGCCUUGGAGGGGAAUAAAAUUCUCAGCGGGGAAAUAUAUCUCUUAUACCCCGUCAGCAAAUAAUGCUGCACGUGAACUUCUGAAAUAUGAAAUAAGUCCCUUAUACCCCGCUUCAAAGCAAAACGUCACACGCUUUUUCCGAGCCAAUUGAUGACAUAGCGCAAGCUAACCUCAGCUCAAUCGAGCAGCCGUUUUCUAUGAAUUUGGAAUUUAUUUGAAUUAUUUUACAAUAUCAUAUUAAAACAUGUCGGUAAGAUACAUUCGUUAUAGCAGGAUCAGUGGGCUCGUGGUAUUAAACCUAACCCGGGCCGGGACGCAUAAAACCCUCUUAAUGCUGCUACAACUUAUGAUGUACUGUGUUUUGAAUGUAGAGCUAGGCUACCUGUAUAUUUAAACGCGCAAAAUUGAACUGAACCAUAUGCGUUAAUUAGUUCGUUAGUUGGUUAGUUCUCGUCGCUUUAUGGCUUCAAUAAUGACGAUGCGACGUUAAUUUUAGUUAGUAAGUUAGCAGAGAUGUUUUGUUGCGCUCGUUUGACCCGUAUGCUGUUUCCGUCCUUCCUCACUUAUCAUGACACUUAUUUGUCACGUAUGGCAACAAUCUGAUUCCAUCGCAACGUCAUUAUUUUUAGUAACAGAUGAUUUUUUCUUUUCAUCUUAAAGUUUUGAGUUUUGUCUUUUCGAAUGAAAUGUUAACCACUUAAGAGGUAAUGCAACUGAACAAACUCCGGUGAAUGACUUGGCCGGACAUUCAGAUGAGGUGAGGUGAGGUGAAAUGUAUUGAUUUGAUAUUUGUUAUCUCAUAUAUAUUUGCUACUUUAUUCAUGUAUGGAAAAUGUUUUAGUAACUUUCAUUUUCACGCAGUAGCGUUAUUUUCUUGCACUAAUAGAUAUUUUCCAUGUAUUUAUGGUCAUUUUUGCCACCUCAAUAAUUGUACAUAUCUGUUUUUGAAAUCGUCAGUUGUACCGUUGGAUAGCUUAUGUUCAGCGCAUUGUUUUGGUAUCAGCAUCUUCCGUAUUGGUUUAGUAGUUAGUUUUCUAUUUUCUCUAUGUUAGGGGGGCAGUCGGGUAGCCUAGUGGUUAAAGCGUUCGCUCGUCACGCCGAAGACCCGGGUUCGAUUCCCGACAUGGGUACAAUGUGUGAAGCCCAUUUCUGGUGUCCCCCGCCGUGAUAUUGCUGGAAUAUUGAUAAAUGCGGCGUAAAACAUACUCACUCACUCACUCUCUAUGUUAGGAAACAAAAUUUGGUAACCUCGCAAGGCUAUUGCAUUCCAUUGGCCGACCUGGACAGGUAGUCCUCUACGACGUCCGCGCACUCGUAUCAAACCAUUGACGAAAUUUAUGUGUCUUUGCCGUCAGGCAUAUUAAGUCCGUUUACGGUCGUCUUGCUACUGGUUUGGUCAGGUCGAAACUCGGUUCCGUCAGUAAGUGGUUAUGGGGCAGAUCUCUGUCGGGUAUUGACUUACUCAUCUUGUAAAAGUGUUGAUUUAGCUGCUGUCCUUUUUGCUACUAUUAUGUGAUAAUCAGCUUGUAUAUUUGGUCUGACCAUUAUCAGUUUAAAUUGAGUUUUGGAUUUUUUUUAUAUUGCCGUUUACUGUUACAAUUAACAGAUUAAACCUGUGAAACCAUUA